This 832-nucleotide ribosomal RNA is filed under the name Speiropsis pedatospora. RNAcentral's name for it is "eukaryotic LSU rRNA". It matches the Rfam family "Eukaryotic large subunit ribosomal RNA", at positions 85 to 938 of the family's 3401-position model. The record is from RNAcentral. Lineage: Eukaryota; Fungi; Ascomycota; Dothideomycetes.
AACGGCGAGUGAAGCGGCAACAGCUCAAAUUUGAAAUCUGGCUCUUUCAGGGUCCGAGUUGUAAUUUGCAGAGGAUGCUUCGGCUUCGACCUUGGUCUAAGUUCCUUGGAACAGGACGUCACAGAGGGUGAGAAUCCCGUACGUGGCCGUGGUCUUCGCCAUGUGAAGCUCCUUCGACGAGUCGAGUUGUUUGGGAAUGCAGCUCUAAAUGGGAGGUAAAUUUCUUCUAAAGCUAAAUAUUGGCCAGAGACCGAUAGCGCACAAGUAGAGUGAUCGAAAGAUGAAAAGCACUUUGGAAAGAGAGUUAAAAAGUACGUGAAAUUGUUGAAAGGGAAGCGCUUGCACCCAGACUUGCCCGCGGUUGCUCAGCCGGUCUUUUGGCCGGUGCACUCUUCCGCGGUCAGGCCAGCAUCAGUUCGGGCGGUCGGAUAAAGGCCUUGGGAAUGUAGCUCCCUUCGGGGAGUGUUAUAGCCCUCGGUGUAAUGCGGCCCGCCUGGACUGAGGUCCGCGCUUCGGCUAGGAUGCUGGCGUAAUGGUUGUAAGCGGCCCGUCUUGAAACACGGACCAAGGAGUCUAACAUCUAUGCGAGUGUUUGGGUGUCAAACCCGUGCGCGAAAUGAAAGUGAACGGAGGUGGGAACCUUAGGGUGCACCAUCGACCGAUCCUGAUGUCUUCGGAUGGAUUUGAGUAAGAGCAUAGCUGUUGGGACCCGAAAGAUGGUGAACUAUGCCUGAAUAGGGUGAAGCCAGAGGAAACUCUGGUGGUGGCUCGCAGCGGUUCUGACGUGCAAAUCGAUCGUCAAAUUUGGGUAUAGGGGCGAAAGACUAAUCGA